AUUUCUUCAAACUACCGCCACAGGCACUCUCUUUGUUCUCAUUUUGUCUUUCAAAUUUCUGUAUCAAAGUUUUCUCUUUCUGUGUCCAGCAAGUGGAGGUUUAGGGUUUUAUGGCUUUUCCAUUGAUGAUUAACUUAUGGAUUUCCCCAAUUGAAUGAUUAAGCUUUCUUUUUGCGAGUAAUUGAUGUUUGUUCGUGCGUGUUAGGUAUGGUAUAUGGGAAGUUGU
Molecule: unclassified non-coding RNA, 226 nt
Filed under: Hevea brasiliensis (rubber tree)
Lineage: Eukaryota; Viridiplantae; Streptophyta; Magnoliopsida; Malpighiales; Euphorbiaceae
Source: RNAcentral